UAACCCCACACACCUUACAUAUAUAUGUGUAUGUAUUUAAUCUUAUAUAUAGAAUUUCAAAAAAACAACUUCAUGUCUGACUUCACUUUUCAAUGACAUUAUAACAUGAAAAAUAUAACAAUCUCAUUUUCAGAUGUUUUAUUUUCAUGGAAUUUUCAAAAUACAUUCCUCUAGAUUAAUAAAACCUGUUUUGACAUGGACAUUGCUAAUGUGGGCUUCCACCAUUUUCAACAGAUCAACUGGGUGGGACUUCCUUUGGGUUGAAGAACAAUCACAUAAUUCCAUACAGGUUAUCAGGAGAUCUGCAAAUGUAUUAUACUUUUUAACAAACAUUUCAUAACUGCAGGUGACAGUAAAUUUAAAGCUUUAAAAGCUGUUCAGAUAGCAAAACACUCCAGAUGGCAAUAGUCACACUUUCAGUAGGUAAUCACUUGUAAAAUAAUUGACACCCUUGUUAAAGAUGAGCUUAAAUGGCUGUAUAAAGUAAACAACAUGGGUAAUGAAACAUAUUUUAUGCAAAAAAUAUGUGAAACCUUCCAUGGCUUCCUUUUCACUGUGGUUGAAAAAUGAGGUAACACAUUUGUCACUUAUUACUACGAGGAAAGGCAAUGAAGUCACAAACGAAGAGACAAAUGAUUGUGAGAGAGGUAAAACAACAUGUAAAAGCUGAAGACAAGUACUUUCUGGAAUUAGAUAGAUAUUAGAUAACCUAUUUACCCAAAGAACUCUAAAGUUGUUCCUUUGACACGCCAACCAAAAACAGACCGGCCAUUAGCAAUUUGACCAACUGCCAGAAGGUUUGUUCAAUCUUCACCUGAGUGAGCCAGUCUAAAUUGGGAUAUUUGCAGAAGAUCAUUAUUUGGUUAAUAAUGUAUGUCUCAAAUAAUAAAUUGGGCCAGUGGUGACCUAGAGAAAACAAAGGCAUGGUGUUUUGUUAAAAAUGCUUAGGCAGAUAUCUGGUCCUAGUGUAUUUCCUAAGCGCAAAAAUCCAGGGAAAUGUAAUCAUUACAAAGAUCCAUGAUAAUGAAAAUGCAAACAUCUAUUCUGACCAACAGUAACACAGAGACAAACCACGUCUGAUGUAAGUUUUUAUUAAAAAAAAAAUCAAAGAAAUUAACAGAAAUAAAGCUUAAGUAACAAUCUACUGAAAAAAGUAUUUUUGGCUUUAACAAACACUCGAAAACAAAAAACACAGAGUAAGGUUUCCCUAAACUGGACAUACAAGUAACCACUGGCAAAUUUGUGGCACAUGUAAAACAAAAUAAAAAAUGUACUCUCAUAUAGAUAUCUCUAUGAAAAUCUUGUAUUUCUUCAAACUGUCUGUACAAAACUUUUCUCUUCAUAAAUUAUUACUUUUCAAUAUAACUUAAUGACUGUUUUACAUGAUGGUUAAUUUAAGCAUUUAUUUCUUUAUACACCUUUUAAACUCUUGACCCAGGCGCAGUAUGGCACUUGUUUCAGACAUUACUAGCCUCGUCCAGAACUAGGCAUCAGAUGUAGACAUUACUAGCAGCAUAACCUCAGUACUCGACUGUAUUAGUAAUCAGUCUCAGGCAUUCAACAGGAAUCUCAAGUAUAGUUACAAUGGCCCUUUACUUUGGUAACUCAACUCAAGCUGACUGCAGAGGAAAUGCUGCUGAAAGUCUGUCUAGACUCUGACAAAGCAGCAAUGAUGAUGUUCUCAGGAGUCCAAGAAAUACCACAACCUUCAGCUUUAGCUUUUGCUUCAACCAAGUUUAUUAGCCUCUGGAAUCUCUUGUGAUGAAAGCAGCCGUUCUACUUUUGAAACUAUGAAACUGAAUGUCUGAACACAACUAAAACACGCUCAACGCACAAUGUUCUCAUAAUGAUUAUACGUCAUAAAAAAGUAAUUUUUUUUGGUUGAACAAAAUCAAAAAGUAUUAAAAAAAACCUGAAAGGAAACAAGUGAAUAUGGCCAGCUCCUGAGCAUGGCGUUUGGUCUGGAAGGGCGGGCUGGACCUGCUAACCCUGCCCAAUACAGAGGAGAAAGGAAACUCUGAGGUAGAUAACUGGUCAGUCUGUCCGACCAUCAGGUCAAAACACAGGCUUCUGGUAGACAACUUAAUCAGAAAGCCUGUUCAAAUCUACUAAAAUCCAAAAUAAUAAAACCUUUAGCAGUAACAUAUUUUGUACAAUGUAAAAUGUUAUUCAUGUAUUUUUGUAAUUUCAUAGUUUCAAACGGUCUUCUUUCCUGGUUUAUUCAUUGUUCUAACAUUAAAUUUUCUUCUGUAGUGACGAUAUCUGUAUGUUGGACCCAAAUCAUCCUUAAUGCUUGUUUGUGUCCAUACUUUCAUAAAACCUAUGACAACUGAAUGUAAAUGUACAAAAAAGGCACAUUCUCCAAGCUGCAAUCUUGUCUGGCAAAAAGUCAAUUACAUCCUGGUUAGAGAGAGAGUAAUGACACUAUUUCCUCAAUUUACUAGCUCACAGUUCUUUGGUGAGGUAAAUUAUAAUUGAAAGUGCCGAGCUUGUUUGUUUUCUAUCAAAGAGCUAGGUGCAAUAAAAUCUACAUAUUCAUUUCUGUUUUUCCCCAACUCAAACUCUGGAGCUCAUUGAACGUUUGCCCAAGUUGUACUGGAAGGCUUUGAUGCACAAUCUUAAAACCAAGUUUGCCUGUUUGCAUUUUAACUGAAGUGGGAAAAAAAACAUCCUGCCAAUCUGACAGAGAACAAAAACCCUCCAAAAGACACAUCCACACCCUCCCUUUUUCUAUCCCCACCCCACCCAAUCCGAAGAAGUAUAUUUUAGUCUAAUCUACAACACCAAGUAAUAAAAAAGGCAAGAUUCAAAAUGUGAUAAUUCAGCAGAAAUUCUACCACAUUCCAACAACCAGAGACAUGUAUGUCCCUCUGAUUAUACAAACAUUACAUCCUAUUAAAAAAUCAUAAUCAGAUUCAGAGGGUCAUUUCACAAUUUCUUUUUCAAAGUCUUCUACUUUAGAUUUGAUUUCAGAGGGGAAAUGCAAAACACCUAAACACAGCAGACUUAAUUAGCAAUAUCCAAAGGAAAAGCCCUAUUAGCUGAUUUACAAGGCAAUAGCUCUCAACAUUUCUCGUAGAUUUCUAGCCUCGGAGGUUGCCUAUACAGCUACUGUAUAGAAACUUUUAAGGCAAAUUGUAUGAGACAGAAAGAUCAGUCUAGACUACUAAGAUAAAUCACUUUACAAGAAGAAACAUUGAACACCAUAGCAACACUCACACAGCAAGCACAAAACAUCAUUUUCAAAAUGUCUGGCUAAUAAAUCUUCAGAAAAAAUCUAUUUCAGUACAAAAUAAGAGAAAAACAAAAUGAAAAUCAUAGAAAAUAUUAACAAAAUACAUCUUCACUAUCAUGCACCUUAAACAACAAGUCACAUGAUUCUUUAGAGGUUCUUGCAUCCAUGUGACAUUCUGUGGUAAAAAAUAAACGUUCUUUAUUAAAAUAAAACUAUUUUUUCUUCUUUUUUAUCUUCAGAAUUAAUAUCCUUUGAUGAAAUUAAUCACUUAUUUGCACCCCACGGAACGUGAGGUUAUACCAAAAUAGUCUCACUUUUUUCACAAAACAAAAGGAAAUCGUUGCAGAACCUGUGCAAAAUGGUGAUAAAUCCUUAACGCACGAUCCAUCAUCAGAGGAAGCCAUGAUUGUUUUCUGCUGUCUUCUCGGCUUCUAUCACACCUGAGAGGAAACAGUGAGACAAGUCAGAUGAGUGUCAAUCUAUCAUAUAAAACAUUUGCCUAUAACUAAAGGCUGGCCUGGAAACAUGUGUCCACAAUGGCAUGCGAGCUC
This is a long non-coding RNA of Esox lucius (northern pike), 3786 nucleotides long. The record is from Ensembl. NCBI's taxonomy places the organism in Eukaryota, Metazoa, Chordata, Actinopteri, Esociformes, Esocidae.